GUUUUAGUUCUAGAAUAUCCAACAUACACUUAGUCUCUAUAUCUCUAUAAUCAUGAUUGUCUGAAUAGAAACCCUAAGUCUAACGCCUUUCUUAUCUGUUUGAAAACCUCGAUCAAUCAACCAAGCAAUUACUUUGCUCACCCCUGCUAUUUACAUUUAAACCAUUCGACCUAGCUUAACCACAUAACUACUAGAUAUUUUGUGUCCCUUAGCUCCUUGUGAAUUUGAUCCCUAAGUGCUACAACUCAACCUCUUAUUUGAGAGAAUACAAAUCAUUCUUCAGGGUAAUUUAAGUGAUAUCAAAUGAUCCUACAUCCAAAUUUCAAUUCUCGUCAGUCCUAAAGUAUUAACACAUUUCAAUAUUGAUUUAAUUUAUGAACUUGGGCUCAAAGGUAUGCUAUGGGUUUUGAAUUUUUCCUUCUUAGUGAUGAUUAAAUUGUCAUCUUUAGAUUGUUGUCUUUGUUAAUUCAUGAC
This 474-nucleotide long non-coding RNA is filed under the name Brassica napus (rape). RNAcentral describes it as "long non-coding RNA (BNAP_LNC026534)". Lineage: Eukaryota; Viridiplantae; Streptophyta; Magnoliopsida; Brassicales; Brassicaceae. The record is from RNAcentral.